GACGAACGCUGGCGGCGUGCUUAACACAUGCAAGUCGAACGGUGAAGCGCCUUCCUUUUUGGUGGGUGUGGAUGAGUGGCGAACGGGUGAGUAACACGUGAGUAACCUGCCCCCUUCUUCUGGAUAACCGCAUGAAAGUGUGGCUAAUACGGGAUAUUCUGGGUCUGUCGCAUGAUGGGUCUGGGAAAGAUAUUGUUUCGGUGGGGGAUGGGCUCGCGGCCUAUCAGCUUGUUGGUGGGGUGAUGGCCUACCAAGGCGGUGACGGGUAGCCGGCCUGAGAGGGUGGACGGUCACACUGGGACUGAGACACGGCCCAGACUCCUACGGGAGGCAGCAGUGGGGAAUAUUGCACAAUGGGCGCAAGCCUGAUGCAGCGACGCCGCGUGAGGGAUGGCGGCCUUCGGGUUGUGAACCCCUUUCGCCAGUGAAGCAGGCCUGCCUCGUUUGUGGGUGGGUUGACGGUAGCUGGAUAAGAAGCGCCGGCUAACUACGUG
Molecule: ribosomal RNA, 494 nt
Filed under: uncultured bacterium
Lineage: Bacteria
Description: partial 16S ribosomal RNA
Rfam family: Bacterial small subunit ribosomal RNA
Source: RNAcentral